AGAGUAUUGAAAGGAUCUUUCCCUAAUAUGAGAGGAUCGGGAAAGAUGCACCUCUAAUGUACCAAUUAUCAUGCCCACGGUAUACGCUGAGUAGCUAAGUGCAGAACGAAUAACUGCUUAAAGCAUCUAAAUAGUAAGCCCACCUUAAAAUGAGUGCUCU
RNAcentral lists this non-coding RNA (160 nucleotides) under Solanum tuberosum (potato). RNAcentral describes it as "Bacterial large subunit ribosomal RNA". It matches the Rfam family "Bacterial large subunit ribosomal RNA", at positions 2656 to 2814 of the family's 2925-position model. The record is from Rfam by way of RNAcentral. Lineage: Eukaryota; Viridiplantae; Streptophyta; Magnoliopsida; Solanales; Solanaceae.